AAGAUGCAGCUUCCAGGCUGCCUCCACCUUCCCUGACCCCAGUGCUGUGAAGGGAGGCUUCAUGCUGCCUAUCAGAGCAGCCCUGAUCCCAACUCCUACUUGCGUGCAAGCAGAAGUGGGGUGGGGGAUCUCUCAGCUGUGAAGGGAGGCUUUAGGCUACCUAUCCGAGCUUGCAUGGAAGCAAGAGGGGGCACGGAUAUCUCAGGGAGGGAGAAGGAAAGCGAGAGGGAAGGAAGGAAGGAAGCCAGAGGGAGGGAGAAGGAAAGUGAGAGAAAUUGAGCUCAGUCAUUGAGCUCAGUCAGUCCCAGUUAAGCUUCCCAGUUAAGUGAAACUUUCAGGUUUCCAAACAAAUGUUUGAGAGUGUAAAUAACUUUCUGAGGACAGCUAGUGUAGGGAUUAGAGAGUUCAAACCCUGCUUCUCCACAUUACUUGGUUAAUUAUGCAUAUAUAUGCAUAUAUAUUUAGGAGUCCGAUCCAUUAAAUUCAGCGGUUCUUACUUCAAAGUACGUAGAGGAUUACUCAGAAGUAAGCCCCAUUGAGCUCCUCAGCCCCAAAUAAGCAUGUCCAUGGGAUUGAAUCCUGUGAAAUUCUGUAGCAAUUUAUCUAGAAGGACAGAACUGAAUGGGAGUUGCUUCUGAGUAGACAAGCAUAGGAUGGCACUGUAAGUCACCAUCUUUUUACACUCUUAUGUGUGCAUUGGGGGGAUAAAAUAUGGGAGUGUAUGUGUAAGUGGGGUUUAUUCUAAGCUCUGACCCCCCCCCAAGCAGCCAGCAUACUGCCCAUCCCCAAAAUGAAUGAAAGGAAAUGAAAGAGAGAAAAGAAAAUAAGAAUUAACACAGAAAGAGGCAGGGGAGAAGAAAAAAAAAUCACAGGAAGAAGACUUGAAAUUUGGGGAAAUGAGAAAGACAGUGAGGGAGCAAGAAAAAGCAAAGUUUCAUUGAAAAGAAUACGGUAGUAAGAGGAUUCACACUACCACAGUUUCUUGGGCAAAGUUAUUUGGGAAGGUUCGUACUAAGUAUUAUGGGUGCAGGCUCUCAAUCAUGCCAUCAGAAACCUUGAUUGCACAGGGUCUACACAUGUACAGUAGGUGCAUAAGGUCCCUGUUCAGACCUGCUGCCAGAUGAAUGAAAGUGAGGAGGGUGGAUCUAGUGGACAUGGUGGGAAAGGGCUGGUCCCUCCUUCACCCAUUCAACAACAACAAUGAAAAUGGAGGGGCACUUCUGAGAAAUACUUCUGAGAUGCCCUGUUCUUGUCUUCUACUGAUGCAGUGCUGGGCUGUUGUGAUUAUUAAUUACACUUGGAAAGUUAUUUAUCAGCUCUGCAGUCAAAAGCACAACUGAAGCUUUAGCCGUGCUCGCUAAGCUUAAUAGUUGCCGGCACCCUGAACGGCAAUUGGAUUUUUUGCUCUUUCUGUGCCCUCGAUCAUGUCGUUGAAUGAUUGGGCUGAAUUCAGAGCUCUGGAACCAAGAGAGGUUUCCCUGAAGACUCCAUGGCUGCCACUUCAAAAGGUCAAUUCCAAGAAUGGAUUUCUCAACUCAAGAUUGAUCUCUGCUAAUGCAAGAGACAAGCCUUGUCUGGUUUCAAAAGGCAUGCUGAGCCAAGACUGGACUGGGGAAGCAGAGAAAACCACAAAAAGAAAGAGAGAUUGGGACUUCCAAAACGUGGAGCAGCAUUGCUGGCUUUCUUGAUUUGUUUCCCUGUGUGUGGAUGCAUAAUUGGACACAAUGUAAGAUAGGCUUGCACCAUGUUGCUUCUAAAGCUCUGAGAGAUGUGGUGAUGUGCAGUGGGGAAGGAAUUGGGGUAAACGAACACACUUCACUUCUCCCCUACCCCCUGCUUUUCUCCUGCAACCUUCUUCCCACCUGCUUUCUCCUACUUUACUCCGCAAGCAUGUGUUUAGAAUCUGGCUGGGUAGGAAUCAAUAGGGAAGGGUUGAGACUGCAGGAGGGAGUUUUUGGAACUUCUGCCCCCUUUGAACUCACUCUAACUUCUAAACCAGGGAGGGAGAACCUAUGGUUCUCCAGAUGUUGCUGCACUUCAGAACUUCACUUACCAUUGUCCAUGAUGGCUAGAACUGAUUGAUGAUUAAGUAAAACAACAACUGAAAGGCCACAGUUUCUUGACCCUGUUUUAAGCCCUGCAAUCCCUUUGGCAGCCAUCUCCUCAUUGGCAGGUAAGGACACAGAACCCUCAAAA
Podarcis raffonei (Aeolian wall lizard) is the source of this 2196-nucleotide long non-coding RNA. RefSeq lists it as uncharacterized. The transcript is spliced from 2 exons. Lineage: Eukaryota; Metazoa; Chordata; Lepidosauria; Squamata; Lacertidae. The record is from RefSeq and is a predicted model, not a curated record.